RNAcentral lists this ribosomal RNA (448 nucleotides) under uncultured bacterium. RNAcentral's name for it is "partial 16S ribosomal RNA". It matches the Rfam family "Bacterial small subunit ribosomal RNA", at positions 329 to 793 of the family's 1533-position model. The record is from RNAcentral.
AACCAGACUCCUACGGGAGGCAGCAGUCGGGAAUAUUGCGCAAUGGAGGAAACUCUGACGCAGUGACGCCGCGUGCAGGAAGAAGGUUUUCGGAUUGUAAACUGCUUUAGACAGGGAAGAUACAAGACAGUACCUGUAAAAUAAGCUCCGGCUAACUACGUGCCAGCAGCCGCGGUAAUACGUAGGGGGCAAGCGUUAUCCGGAUUUACUGGGUGUAAAGGGAGCGUAGACGGCAAUGCAAGCCAGAUGUGAAAGCCCGGGGCUCAACCCCGGGACUGCAUUUGGAACUGUGUAGCUGGAGUGUCGGAGAGGCAGGCGGAAUUCCUAGUGUAGCGGUGAAAUGCGUAGAUAUUAGGAGGAACACCGGUGGCGAAGGCGGCUUACUGGACUGUAACUGACGUUGAGGCUCGAAAGCGUGGGGAGCAAACAGGAUUAGAUACCCCCGUAA